This 369-nucleotide ribosomal RNA is filed under the name uncultured bacterium. Its description in RNAcentral is "bacterial SSU rRNA". It matches the Rfam family "Bacterial small subunit ribosomal RNA", at positions 524 to 898 of the family's 1533-position model. The record is from RNAcentral.
UACGUAGGUGGCGAGCGUUAUCCGGAUUUAUUGGGUUUAAAGGGUGCGUAGGCGGCUGAUUAAGUCAGCGGUGAAAGGUAGCAGCUUAACUGUUUUACAUGCCGUUGAUACUGGUUAGCUUGAGUUAACAGAAGGCAGAUAGAAUUUCUGGUGUAGCGGUGAAAUGCUUAGAUACCAGGAGGAAUACCGAUUGCGAAGGCAGUCUGCUGCAGUUACACUGACGCUGAGGCACGAAAGUGCGGGGAUCAAACAGGAUUAGAUACCCUGGUAGUCCGCACAGUAAACGAUGAUUACUAGUUGUUGGCGAGAGUCAGUGACCAAGGGAAACCGAUAAGUAAUCCACCUGGGGAGUACGCCGGCAACGGUGAA